GAAAUAGUUUGAGCUAAAUAUGUUGUUGUUUUGGUGAUUAGUAUUUGGUGUUGCAUAACCUGUUUGGAAAACAUGUUUAGGGGUGAUAGGCCUUUCAAAAACUAUGAUAUCUUGAACCCCAUUAAAAGUAUUUAGUACAUAUAGUACAUUUAUUGAGUGACUAGGCUCAAUAAUAUUAUUAAUUUAUGUAUUUAGUAACAUCAUGGUAUAAUAACUAAAUGUAGGUAUUUGCUAAUAUACUUUUAUUAUAGCUUAUAAGGAGUAAUUGGGUGAAGUAAAGCUUAGACUAUCUUUUAAUUAUGUUAAUAUUAGUAUAUAUUUAAUAUAUUUAUUUAAUGAACUCGGCAAUGGUGCUUCUCAACUGUUUAUCAAAAACAUAAUGCGUGCAUAAAUACGCAGCGGUUUCUGCUCAAUGAUUAUUAAAUAGCCGCAGUAUUCUGACUGUGCAAAGGUAGCAUAAUCAAUUGGCUUAUAAUUGAAGUCUGGAAUGAAAGAAAGUAUGGGGAGCCACUGUAUCAUAGAAACUUGUAGAAUUUAUUUAUGAAGUGAAAAUCCUUCUAUUUAUUUAAAAGACGAGAAGACCCUAGAAAUUUUUAGUAAUUGGGAUUUUAUCUCAGCAUUUUUUUGUUGGGGCGACAGAGUAACAUAAAACCUACUUUAAGCUACGUGCAACUUUUUUGGUGUUAGGAGAAUUUACUCUAGGGAUAACAGCAUAAUAUUUUAAAGUUUGUGACCUCGAUGUUGGACUAGGAAACGAUAACUUAAAAGGUUUUUCGUAGUGCUCUGUUCGAGCAUAUACUCCUACAUGAUC
This 811-nucleotide ribosomal RNA is filed under the name Euhadra sandai. RNAcentral describes it as "partial 16S ribosomal RNA". The stretch from base 353 to 508 matches the Rfam family "Archaeal large subunit ribosomal RNA", at positions 1883 to 2090 of the family's 2987-position model. Lineage: Eukaryota; Metazoa; Mollusca; Gastropoda; Stylommatophora; Camaenidae. The record is from RNAcentral.